This is a long non-coding RNA of Balaenoptera acutorostrata (minke whale), 1455 nucleotides long. RefSeq lists it as uncharacterized. The record is from RefSeq and is a predicted model, not a curated record. The transcript has 7 exons. NCBI's taxonomy places the organism in Eukaryota, Metazoa, Chordata, Mammalia, Artiodactyla, Balaenopteridae.
AGGGUGAGGGAUGCGGAGGACACGAAGGCCAUCCUGACCUUUUGCACUAACAGUGGGCAAAGCAGGGAAAUGGCACGGCCUAGGGUUGGGGGGGUCCCAGCCCGAGACGGGGGCUCUGGGUGGACUACGGCAGAUCCCGCCGAGGGCCGGUGAGCCUGAAACGCCGGAGGCCUGCAGGCCGAGGUCGCGCUGGCGCGGCGCCUUGGAGCGCGAACGACCCGGCGGAGCGCGGGGUCCCAGCGCAGCGCGCCCCCAGCAGCCCUGCCCAGCGAGCGCCCGCCCGGGGAGCCGACCGCGGGGGCGGAGUGCGUCGCCCCGGGGGCUGAGCCCGGCCCGGGAGGGGCUCGCCCGGCGCGCCGGCCGGGAUCCCGGCUCCCCCGGGGGACAGGCCCGCGCCGCUGCGUGUGGAUGGAGCGCCCGCGUCUCAGCGCGGGGACGCCCGGGACGGAGCGCGGGGUGGGCCGGGGCCUCCGCUCCGGGGCUGCUGGACGGUAACCGGAUUGAGGGAGAACCAGGGCGAGGGCGGCUCCUUCUCCUUCGCCCUGCGUCAUUUUAGGUGUUUUGGGGGCGAGGAAGAAGGCGACGUGUAUAAUUUAUUGCUCUGUUUUGGACCUGGGGGAGGGCAAGUGUUUGUCGCGGUAUCUUGGAGCUGUUACACAACCUCAGUCUACCCAUAGAAGCAUCUUGGAAGACUUCUCACUGUGGAGAUUCCUGAAGAUGGUGUACUGAUGGUUCUGUCGGCUGAACGCCACUAGAAACUCUACUGACUCAGGCUUUCUGACUGUUGGAAUGGUUUUAGAUGGUCAUCCCAGAGAAUGAAGGCAUGCAUGACUCACAUGAAGCACUGGUUAUUAAAGACAAGUACCAACUUACAUUUGAAGUCCAAAGCCAGCAUUUGCUCAUUCUGAGGUGGGACUGGUGAACAUCCAUAAGUGACGUGGCUAUUUGGGAGUACUUUUGGUUGGGACACUGAAGCCAGAGCUCCAGAGGGUGGCUGAAACAGAAUAUCCCCCUGCUAAACAGACCAGUGAGAAGAAUUCCUCACUAUCAAAUUCUCAUCAACAAGUCUGACAGAAUUUGCGUCUCCUAAACCUACAUUUCCAAGGAGGUCAUAACAAUAUUUAUGGAAUAUGAGGCACAGAAUCUUAAGUUAAAAAAUAUUUUUCCAGGUCUUAUUUACACUGAACUCAAAUUAACUGUCAAAUAAGAAUACUGACAUAAGUAAGGUAUUUACUGCUAACUUGAAAACCUUCUUUACCAAAUAUGAUGGAACCAAAGAUACAAUGAAGCCGUGGCUAAGAAAACUCACCCCCUGUGAUUAAAUUUUAUUGAGUAUGAACAAUUUUUUUCUUGAUGUACAGACUCAAUUGUACUUUUCUACCCAACUGGAUAAAUAAAAGCUAAAAUAUAAUUUAUUUAACUCUUUUUGGAAAUAAAACUUCAACAUACCUUAAA